UGGCCUCUGUUCAGGGUGUACAGUUUC
This 27-nucleotide non-coding RNA is filed under the name Rattus norvegicus (Norway rat). Lineage: Eukaryota; Metazoa; Chordata; Mammalia; Rodentia; Muridae. The record is from RNAcentral.